UGGGGAAUCUUGGACAAUGGAGGAAACUCUGAUCCAGCCAUGCCGCGUGAGUGAUGAAGGCCUUCGGGUUGUAAAACUCUUUCGCGCGCGACGAUAAUGACGGUAGCGCGAGAAGAAGCUCCGGCUAACUUCGUGCCAGCAGCCGCGGUAAUACGAAGGGGGCUAGCGUUGUUCGGAAUUACUGGGCGUAAAGCGCGCGCAGGCGGCCUUGCAAGUCAGAGGUGAAAUCCCAGAGCUUAACUCCGGAAUUGCCUUUGAGACUGCUUGGCUUCGAGUACGGGAGAGGUGAGUGGAAUUCCCAGUGUAGAGGUGAAAUUCGUAGAUAUUGGGAAGAACACCGGUGGCGAAGGCGGCUCACUGGCCCGUUACUGACGCUCAGGCGCGACAGCGUGGGGAUCAAACAGGAUUAGAUACCCCCGUAGUCC
This 425-nucleotide ribosomal RNA is filed under the name uncultured bacterium. RNAcentral's name for it is "bacterial SSU rRNA". It matches the Rfam family "Bacterial small subunit ribosomal RNA", at positions 355 to 796 of the family's 1533-position model. The record is from RNAcentral.